RNAcentral lists this ribosomal RNA (253 nucleotides) under uncultured bacterium. RNAcentral's name for it is "partial 16S ribosomal RNA". It matches the Rfam family "Bacterial small subunit ribosomal RNA", at positions 524 to 776 of the family's 1533-position model. The record is from RNAcentral.
UACGGAGGGUGCAAGCGUUAUCCGGAUUCACUGGGUUUAAAGGGUGCGUAGGCGGGCAGGUAAGUCCGUGGUGAAAUCUCUGAGCUUAACUCAGAAAUUGCCAUGGAUACUAUUUGUCUUGAAUAUUGUGGAGGUGAGCGGAAUAUGUCAUGUAGCGGUGAAAUGCUUAGAUAUGACAUAGAACACCCAUUGCGAAGGCAGCUCACUACACAAUGAUUGACGCUGAGGCACGAAAGCGUGGGGAUCAAACAGG